This is a non-coding RNA of Macaca mulatta (Rhesus monkey), 547 nucleotides long. The record is from RefSeq and is a predicted model, not a curated record. Lineage: Eukaryota; Metazoa; Chordata; Mammalia; Primates; Cercopithecidae.
AAUGCCCAAAAGUGGAAUGGAGCACUAACUGAGGGUUUUGGAGGACUUGGAAAAUCAAGAACCUACAGCUUCCAUUUAGUUUCCUCUCUCAAUGGAAGUAGCUUCUCCCUUGUCUCAAAUAAUUAUUCCUGCCUUUCCUGAGGACCCUGCAACUCUCUAAUCUGUAGAAGGUGAUGGAAGAGUUAAACUCAAACAGGAUGGUGAAGCAACGUAGAGAUUAACAGCCGGAAAGAAGCUACAACCACCCACGUACUAGAAAGAAGGAAGUCCAUGUUACUAGAACCCGUGGCCAGCCGGAGUGGAUCCAUAAAGUGCAGUCAUCACUGCAGCUGCAUUUCAGCUUCUCCCUUUUUCCCAUUGGCUGAAUCCAGAUGUGAUGGUGGGAGCUGGAACAGACAGCCAUGUUGGACCACAAGAUAGAAGAUGCAGUUUGAGGAUGGCAGAGCAGCAAGACUGAAGGGACCUGGGUUCCUGAUAAUUGCAGAGCUGCAAUGCUGGUCAUCUAGACUUUUAUAUGAAAGAGAAAUGAACUUUUAAUGUGACUAAU